This 263-nucleotide unclassified non-coding RNA is filed under the name plant metagenome. RNAcentral describes it as "partial contains small subunit ribosomal RNA, internal transcribed spacer 1, and 5.8S ribosomal RNA". The record is from RNAcentral.
UUUCCGUAGGUGAACCUGCGGAAGGAUCAUUAUUGUAUAACCGAGGUGCGAGGGCUGUCGCUGACCCGAAAGGUCGUGCACGCCCGAGUGCCCUCACACCCUUCCAUCUCACCCCUAUGUGCACCACCGCGUGGGUCCCCCUUUGGCUUUUUCGGAGGGGGGCUUACGUUUUCACACAAACUUUGUAUGCAGUGUAGAAUGUAUUUUUUGUUUUUGCGAUCACGCAAUCAAUACAACUUUCAACAACGGAUCUCUUGGCUCUC